AUUGAACGCUGGCGGCAGGCCUAACACAUGCAAGUCGAACGGUAACAGGAAGAAGCUUGCUUCUUUGCUGACGAGUGGCGGACGGGUGUGUAAUGUCUGGGAAACUGCCUGAUGGAGGGGGAUAAUUACUGGAAACGGUAGCUAAUACCGCAUAACGUCGCAAGACCAAAGAGGGGGACCUUCGGGCCUCUUGCCAUCGGAUGUGCCCAGAUGGGAUUAGCUAGUAGGUGGGGUAACGGCUCACCUAGGCGACGAUCCCUAGCUGGUCUGAGAGGAUGACCAGCCACACUGGAACUGAGACACGGUCCAGACUCCUACGGGAGGCAGCAGUGGGGAAUAUUGCACAAUGGGCGCAAGCCUGAUGCAGCCAUGCCGCGUGUAUGAAGAAGGCCUUCGGGUUGUAAAGUACUUUCAGCGGGGAGGAAGGGAGUAAAGUUAAUACCUUUGCUCAUUGACGUUACCCGCAGAAGAAGCACCGGCUAACUCCGUG
This 490-nucleotide ribosomal RNA is filed under the name uncultured bacterium. Its description in RNAcentral is "partial 16S ribosomal RNA". It matches the Rfam family "Bacterial small subunit ribosomal RNA", at positions 30 to 507 of the family's 1533-position model. The record is from RNAcentral.